AUUACUUUGGAAAUAUAAUUUUUGAAAGGAAGGUAAAAAAUUGAAAUUGUCUGCUCUAGUAAUACCCAGGUUAUGUAGAUAUAGUUGUCUUUUUCUUUAAGGAGAUAAUAGGGAAUGGAGAACUGGAAUGACCACCCUUAUUAUCUUAGUAACGCCCUUAUCUGAUACCCAUGGAUGGUGGGGGAGACGGAGAGGAAAACAACAUGUAUCCAGUCAUUUAAAUUGAACACCCAAAGCGUUGGUCCGGAAUUUUGUUCUGAUGUCGCAGGAAUAAUCUAC
Non-coding RNA from Pelobates cultripes (western spadefoot toad), 279 nucleotides. The record is from the annotation of a GenBank genome assembly. Lineage: Eukaryota; Metazoa; Chordata; Amphibia; Anura; Pelobatidae.